Molecule: ribosomal RNA, 687 nt
Filed under: Triticum aestivum (bread wheat)
Lineage: Eukaryota; Viridiplantae; Streptophyta; Magnoliopsida; Poales; Poaceae
Description: partial small subunit ribosomal RNA
Source: RNAcentral
AUGACAAAAUAUUGGUGGAGCAGCUCUGUUGAUAGGCGGUCCUUGCACUGUCUGUCAUGGGAGAAUUUGUCAACACCAAAGGUUCAAGGGGGCAUGGGGUUCAGAGAGUUCGAAAAGUUUAAUCUGGCGCUUCUUGGGAAGCACGGCUGGCGACUCAUAACUCACCCUAAUUCCCUUUGCUCUCGAGUCCUCAAAGGGAAAUAUUUCCUGGACUGUGAUUUUAUGCAGGCCAAAGCUCCAUCCACCUCGUCAGCAACCUGGAAAGCAAUCAUUGCGGGGAGAAAGUCUUUGCAAACGGGAUUGAUCAAACGAGUUGGCAACGGAGAAUCAAUCUCCAUCUGGAACGAUUCUUGGAUCCCCACCACUUCCACCCUCAAGCCCAUGGGGAGGAUAGGGAACGACCCGCUUCAGCGGGUCUCUGAGCUAAUUGAUGACAGUACUGGGACCUGGGAUAUUGAAACAGUACGGCGGAAUUUUCUUGCACCUGAUGCGGAGGCCAUACUCAACAUUCCUAUUCGACGCAAUGGUGGAGAGGAUUUCCUGGAGUGGGCCUUUGAAAGAUCCAGAGAGUACACUGUAAAAUCAUCCUAUCGUGCUCUUGUGACUCAGAACGAGCGUCGAGCUCUAGAGGAAGGGACGGUAGUGGGAACCUCAUCUUCGCAAAAACAGUUGUGGACUACUCUAUGA